This 691-nucleotide long non-coding RNA is filed under the name Homo sapiens (human). RNAcentral describes it as "HSALNT0228866". The record is from RNAcentral. Lineage: Eukaryota; Metazoa; Chordata; Mammalia; Primates; Hominidae.
GGCAUGAGCCACUGCGCCCAGCUCAUUGAUAUUUAUUGAAUGCCUCCUAUUUGUCUGGCCCUGGGGAUGGUGGAGCGAAGAAGAAAAACUGAAUCUUGGCUCUCAUGGAGAGGAUGGGGGAGAGCGUUAGCACCAGCAACAGUGACCUCACACAGUGAGGGCACUGGGAAGGAAAUAAAAGAGGCAACACAGAGUGAUAGUGACACAGGAGAGUGGACUGGAAAGGCCGUCCUGAGGAGGAGACAUUUGGCUCAGCCGUGAAUGGAUCUAAAUCAGUAACUCAACCUCUCCUGUGAAUGCGUUUUACGAGGCCAGGAUAUGGUUUGGAGAAAUGCAGAUUCCUGGGCCCAGCAAAUCUGGGGAUGAUGACAAGGCAUCAUCGUGGGACACCAGCUUAGCAAUAGCACCCCCAGAAUAAGACUGCUUCCAGUUCAAUAAACCGCUACAAAGAGUCUAUUAAUGGUGGUAUCCAUCUGGACCUGCGGCCAUAGAGAAGAGACCCAAGCACAGUGGUUAUUAAAAAGCCCAUAUCCUUCAAAAAUUAUGAGUAGAUAUUAUAAAUUCCAAAAUGAUGAAGAGUUCAGGAUGAGAAGAUGGGGACUCACCCAGAACAAAGCAGCACACUGAUUUAUCCUUUGUCUCCUGACAGCAUUCCUUCCCCCGCUGGUCAUCCCGCCCAAUCACACAUGUG